This 221-nucleotide unclassified non-coding RNA is filed under the name rhizosphere metagenome. RNAcentral describes it as "partial ribosomal RNA internal transcribed spacer region". The record is from RNAcentral.
GUAGGUGAACCUGCGGAAGGAUCAUUACUGCUUGCUCGCGGCGCCGCGCGGGAGACCGUGCGGCGUCGGGCAUGCCACCCUUGCCUAUGUACACCCCAUCGUCCCUUCCCCUCGGCGGGCUCGCCCGCCGCCGGGGCACGUAAACCACCUUGCAUGAAGCAUCAAACCUUCUGAAUAAACAUAAACAAUCACAACUUUCAACAAUGGAUCUCUUGGUUCUG